RNAcentral lists this ribosomal RNA (234 nucleotides) under uncultured bacterium. RNAcentral describes it as "partial 16S ribosomal RNA". It matches the Rfam family "Bacterial small subunit ribosomal RNA", at positions 14 to 244 of the family's 1533-position model. The record is from RNAcentral.
GUAUCAUGGCUCAGGAUGAACGCUAGCGGCAGGCUUAACACAUGCAAGUCGAGGGCAGCAUUUGGUAGCAAUACCUGAGAUGGCGACCGGCGCACGGGUGCGUAACGCGUAUGCAACCUACCCAUAACAGGGGCAUAACACUGAGAAAUCGGUACUAAUUCCCCAUAACAUUCGAAGAGGCAUCUUUUCGGGUUGAAAACUCUGGUGGUUAUGGAUGGGCAUGCGUUGUAUUAG